UACGUAGGGUGCGAGCGUUAAUCGGAUUUACUGGGCGUAAAGCGUGCGCAGGCGGCCCGUUAAGACAGGUGUGAAAUCCCUGGGCUCAACCUGGGAAUGGCAUUUUGAACUGGCAGGCUCGAGUACGGUAGAGGGGGGUGGAAUUCCUGGUGUAGCAGUGAAAUGCGUAGAGAUCAGGAGGAACACCGAUGGCGAAGGCAGCCCCCUGGGCCUGUACUGACGCUCAUGCACGAAAGCGUGGGUAGCAAACAGG
This 253-nucleotide ribosomal RNA is filed under the name uncultured microorganism. Its description in RNAcentral is "partial 16S ribosomal RNA". It matches the Rfam family "Bacterial small subunit ribosomal RNA", at positions 524 to 776 of the family's 1533-position model. The record is from RNAcentral.